CAACUGUCCUUCCUAAAUCCACUGCAGUUUGCUAUCCAGAUGUUGGACUGUUCCUGUCUCAGUGGAGGACAAUGUGUGUCUGAGAGACAUGUAAUGUCCAUGUUUGCUGCUGAAAGAGACUGAUGGUCUGACCCCCCUCCUCCUUUCAGGGUGGAGCCUGCUGGAGGCCCAUUCUUGACUCCAGGUCCAUGGAGACUGAGGAAGUAUUCCUGUCAACUCACCAUCGACACAAACACAGUGAGCAGAGAGCUCAAACUGUCUGAAGACAACAGGAAGGUGACAUUUGUGGAGGAGCUUCAGUCAUAUCCUGAUCAUCCAGACAGAUUUGAUCGUCCUCAGCUGCUGUGUAAAACUGGUCUGACUGGUCGCUGUUACUGGGAGGUCGAGUGGAGAGGAAGAGUUGAUAUAUCAGUGAGUUACAGAAGAAUCAGGAAGAAAAGAAACAGUAAAGACUCUAGGUUUGGAUGGAAUGAUCAUUCCUGGAGGCUGAGCUGCACUGAUGAUGAUGGUUACUCCGUCUGUCACAAUAACACAUCAACUCGUCUCUUCUCCUCCUCUGACUCUCACAGAGUAUCUGUGUAUGUGGACUGUCCUGCUGGCAUUCUGUCCUUCUACCAAGUCUCCUCUGACUCACUGAUCCAUCUCCACACCUACAUCACCACAUUCACUGAACCUCCGCUUCCGGGAUUUGGGUUCUGGUUCAGUCCUGGUUCCUCAGUGUUUCUGUGCUGAGGAACUCUUUAAAGAGUUUAAAGAGUUUCCUCCUGAGAAACUCUCACUGCUUAUGAUAGUUCAGUAUCUUCAUGUUUGUUUCAUUCAGAAACAUGUUUUCAUGGAUCCAGGAUGUUCAUGAUUAUUCCAGGAUUAUUCCAGGACCCACAUUUUUUCCAGUCAAAAAUUCACAAUGAAUCUCAGUAUGAUGUGUUUUCGCUUGAUGUUCUUCCUUUCAUUCAUCACUCAGAUUUCUUUAACUUUACUGCAGUUUUUCCUCAAUCAGUGGACAUUUUAUGUUCCAGUUAUCUCUUAAAUACAUCUUGGAUUAAAAUGUUAAAUGGUCCUCUUGUAUAUUUAUUGCAGUUACACUUCAUGUUUUUAGUGAAUAAACAUUUUUUUUACAUUUUAUUUA
Long non-coding RNA from Poecilia latipinna (sailfin molly), 1126 nucleotides. RefSeq lists it as uncharacterized. Lineage: Eukaryota; Metazoa; Chordata; Actinopteri; Cyprinodontiformes; Poeciliidae. The transcript has 2 exons. The record is from RefSeq and is a predicted model, not a curated record.